UGAUAAAAAGUUACUAUUGGAUCAUGCAUCGUCUGAUCCAACCAGGUUGGUAGUUCCAAAUGCCCGUUCCUGUCUGUAGAGAUGAUACAGGAAAAGAGUAAGAUUAUAAGAGAGGUACAAGAAGAUGUCCAGGAGAUACACUCAUACCACACAGCUUGGAAUUUAUCCCGCAGAACAUCUGCACAUGACCGCCGUUUCCGCAUCCAUCCGCCACACACGCAUAAAAGCCCUGAAAGCAGCACUUGACCUGAAAAACCCUCCGACUCCGUGAAGCACAGAUGGUUUUGAUCCUCUCCACUCUGGGAGAAUCGCUUUGAAUUCACCUUUAAAGCAAAAUUUGUGGUAAAAACAGGAAUGAAAGUGGAGUAUA
Poecilia latipinna (sailfin molly) is the source of this 370-nucleotide long non-coding RNA. RefSeq lists it as uncharacterized. The transcript has 2 exons. Lineage: Eukaryota; Metazoa; Chordata; Actinopteri; Cyprinodontiformes; Poeciliidae. The record is from RefSeq and is a predicted model, not a curated record.